This 29-nucleotide non-coding RNA is filed under the name Mus musculus (house mouse). The record is from RNAcentral. Lineage: Eukaryota; Metazoa; Chordata; Mammalia; Rodentia; Muridae.
UACAUUUCCAAUGCUAUCCCAACUGUCCU